Artibeus jamaicensis (Jamaican fruit-eating bat) is the source of this 6125-nucleotide long non-coding RNA. RefSeq lists it as uncharacterized. NCBI's taxonomy places the organism in Eukaryota, Metazoa, Chordata, Mammalia, Chiroptera, Phyllostomidae. The record is from RefSeq and is a predicted model, not a curated record. The transcript is spliced from 5 exons.
GAUGCGUUCUAGGCGGUUUCACCACGGGUGGAGUUUGUUGCUGCCAAGGAAGAAGUCAGCCUAGGCGAGACACAGCAGGCCUUGUUGGAGUAGGAGUGGGGUCGGGGUUGCUGACCCACGUGAAGAGCCCCGUGCCCUGCCAUUCGGCCAAAGAGGGCUCCUGAGGAAGAAGGAAGUUGUUGCACAUCUGAAUCCAGAUCAGGAACUGGCUAGUCCUGGCAGAGGCGGACCCUCCAGAGCCAGCAAGAUCCCAGGUGUCAACGCAUCAGAAUACAGCGGGGAAGCACCUGGGUAAUACGCCUCCUUGGCCUUCCUGUGACAUUCCACCCACCGUCCUGAACCUCCCCCCUCCCUCACUUUCUACCAGUCCUCAGUCUUCCGGUUCUCCUGUCUGACCUGCCCAUCCCUUCUCAGUGUCUGUCCCGGUGUCUGUGCCUACCACGCCUGGCUGGGGGAUCUCCUCAUGCUGCUUGUCUCUUUGGGGAGACUUGCCCAGGCCCCUGGCUUCAGCAGUCACCUAGGCGCUGGUUAUUCCCGAAUCUCCAUUUCUAUCCAGACCUCUCCCCUGAGCCAAGACCCUGCAGCCAAGUGCUUACAGGGUGCCUGCACCUGAGUGUCUCAGCUGGAAGCUGGACAAACCCAGGGGCAAACCCAACACGUCCGUCAUCCCAACCCUGGCCCCUCCCCCUAUAGUGCCGAUAUUUGGUGAAUGGCCACCGCAGCCUACCUUGGGACCCAGGCCAGGAAACUGAGAGCUGUCCUAGACUCCCCCCUCCCCGCAAACAGUAAUCAGGCCUUUUCAAAGUCUCCGGUCAUCUCCUCCCCACGCCACCGCCACUGCUCUGGUUCAAAGACCGCAGCCUGCUCCGGAUCAGCCAGCCUCCAGUGGAGGCAGAAGCCGCACCAGUUACCAUCUCGGUAUAAAGAUGUUAUCCAGGUAACUGAACGGAUACAAAGAGGACUCCAAGGCAGCAGCCCUUCAACUUGAACACAUUGCCCGGAGGACUUGUUAAGACACGGACUGCAGAGCCUGACACUAGAGUCUCUGACUGGUCUGGGAGGGGACCUGGAGUUUCGCGUCUCUACCGACUCCCGGGCUGAGGCCGCCGAGGCCCAGGCCCAGGCGGAGGCUGCAGGUCUGCGGGCCUCGCUGAAACCCGCGGCUCUAAGGUGCGGGAGGACCAAGCGCGGGAAGCCGCUCCACAGGGCUCCCGGAGCCCGGGGAACAAAGACUCUGCACCAGCUGCCUGGCGCUGACGUGUGUCAUGAAACUGGUUUUGCAAGUGUUGGAAAACGGGACAAACUCCAGGAAGGAACUACUGUGGCUGCUGCGGGAGGAGUGAAGUGUUGCCCAGGUAACGCCAACGGUAACAGCCCGCAAGUCCCUUUGGCGGAAGGUGUGCGGAGGUGCUGGGAAGAGGUUCCCAGGAGGCAGAACUUGGAAAGUCCUGGGCAAACCGGGACCUAGAACCAUCCAUCGGGCAGAGCAGCAUGUGGUUCGCCCGAUCGGCAUCACUAAGUGCGGAAUAGGAGACUGGGCUUCCCGGCCUCUGCAUCCUCAAGGCUGCCUCAAGAGAAGCUUUAUAAAUUGGUAAAACUGGUCGUUUCAGACUCUUGACAAAAAGUUUUUCAAUACCGCUUGUGAUUUCGUGAUUUAUAAUGAACAGAUAUUUGGUCUCUGUUCCCUUUCCCAGCACAGAGCUCCUAAAACCCUUGGAGUUUCCAAAGUGAUAAAGGUGAUAGGAGUGUCCUUCCUUAACAAGCGUCUUUCAGCCACACUUGACUUUGGGAAAAGCCCCUAGAACCUAAGGAUAGGGACUGGUGACCAGAGCCCAGGUGGCAAACACAAGGCCCGCAGGCUGAAUCCGGGCCUCCAGCUUGGUUUAUCCAGCCCGGCACCUUGCUUCUACGGGGAGGCACAGCCCGGCUCCCACUUAACUGUUACGGAGCAGUUACAUUUACACAGUCCUAAAAUGACAUUCGGCCCUUUGAAGGCAACCUCGAGGCUGGUGUGGCCCCCGGUGAACAUGAGUUUGACCCCCUUAGAUUAGAGCGUUGGAACUUUCAGAACCACUCACCCGCCUCGCAAUCCCAACCCCAGGCUGGAGGUUGAGUUAAUCCCCAGUGGCCAUAGAUUUAAUCAAUCAUACCUACCUAAUGAAGCCUUUUUAAAAUCCUCUGAGGUGUUCAGAUUGCUUCCCAUGCAAGAAAGGGCCUGCUCCUCCCCCACUCCUUGCCCUUUGCAUCUCUUCCAUCCAGCUGUUCCAGAGCUGUAGCCUUUUAUAACUAACCAGUAAUCUAGUAGGUGAAUUUUUUCCUAAAUUCUGCGAGCAGUUCUAGCAGGGAGCCCCCAGUGUGUAGCCAAGCUGGUCAGAUUGUGGGUAACCUAAAGGGCCCGCUACUACUUGCAAUUGGCAAGGGAAGGGGGUUCAGGGGGUGUCUUCUGGGACUGGAGCCCUUACCGGGUGGGAGCAGAUGCUAACUUCAGAAACACAGUUUCAGAAUUUAAUUGAGUUAUAGGACACCCAGCUGGUGUCGGCAGAGAACUGGAGAAUUUCCCGGUGGGGACGAAGCCCCACACCCUGAGGAGCAGGCUUGGAGUACUGAGAGCAGAGUGGGGGGCAGAGGCACAAAUGGAGUUUUUCCUUUUCUCUCUCCACCAGCCAAUCACGGUGAAACUUCAACUAUUUAAGGCAGCAUAAAAGCCUUUUCAAAGUUAUCUUCAAUUACAGCCUGGCCUCAUCUCCAUUCCUUAUCCUGGCAUUCUGGAAAUGCAUAAAUCGAUGGGUUCCUAGGGCAAAUCAUAUUCUCAAGACGCUGAGCUUUGGUUAUACUAUUCCCUCAUCUGGAUGAAAAGCACAUGGACCCCCUUUUCUCAGAGGGAAAUAUAAGAUCAGAAUAUGUGCUUCCCCUUUAAGAACGGAAGUUACUUUUUCUCAUUCUGUAAAGUGUCAGCUGGACUUGAAGGCCAAAGAAAAUCUCAAAGCAAAUUCCACGGUAUUUGCUGUUGUUACGGUAAACUUUUGAAUUCCACGGUAUUUACUGUUGUUACGCUUCUGGCACCCAGGGAGGAGAAAAAGAUAAGAACACUGCCUGUGAUGAUGAAACUUGUUAGUUUUUCUUUCCUGUUAAAGAUAUUUUUACUUGAACUCUCUUUAAGGUUUGAAACAUUUUUAGACAAAUUCCACAAAUGAAAAGCAGUGGUUGGUUUAAAAAUUAGACACGGUUUUAUAAAAUCAUGCCAGAUGGUAUCUAAGAUUUAGCAAUAGUGUUCUAAGCCUGUGGUCCAGUUCAAAGUCCGUAAACUUCUCAUGUGGUUAUGUGGUUAACAGAGUGAUUUUGCUCACUUGCUCUCUCUCUCCUGCAAUACUUUUUAAAAAUUAAUUAUGUGGUUCUGGCCGGUCUUGUUCGGUUUUUCGCCUGUGUAAAUUCCUUUGUGGCCCUGGCUGGCGUGGCUCAGUGGAUUGAGUGCCAGCCUGCAGACUGAGAGGCAACCGGUUUGGUUCCCGGUCAGGGCACAAGCCUGGGUUGUGGGUUUCAGUCCCCAUCUGGGGCACAUGCAACUGACUGGUAUUUCUCUCCCUCUUUUCCUGUCUCUCUAAAAUAAAGAAAUAAAAUCUUCAAAAAACAUUCCUUUGUGAAGACUUCUAAGGCAAACUCUGAGCUCUUUAGAGGAUCCCAGUAGAAUGAACAGCUUCUCCCUCCAUUGAGUUAGAUUGUAACUGUUUGCAUAACUAUCUUUCUACUCUGCUGAUUCUCCUCUUGGACAGUAACGGUGGGUUCUGGUGUUUGGACUCCAUGUUUUUAGCAUAUCCUUCCAUGGUAGACCCUCACCAAACAGUACUUUAGUGAAUGCAACAGAUUUUUGAUAAAGCUGAGUUCCAAAGCAGCCCGGCUGUUGUAGACCGCUCUGCCUGAUUUUAGGAAUUGUAUCUCUACCCCUUGUGGCUAAGGGCGAGGGACGACUUUUGGAAUGCCAGCCACAGGAGGCAAAGCCUGUCUCUGGUAGCAAACACUGCCUCAGUUCCUCUCCCUGCCACCAAAGCUUGGUCAGAAGUCAGUGACGGAUCUCAUCAUGUCUCAGCCAUAUUCAUUCACUCGUGUUCGUGGCACCAGGAGGGACUCAAGAGGAAGUCGCUCCCACAUCUGGUGCUCAGAACAGGGACACGAACGGACCUUCUUCAAGCCAGAGGCCUAGAGCUAUGCCAUGGACACGCCUGCCACGGACAUGACCUUUAAGAAGCAGCAGCGAGUGCACGCAGGUAAUGACAGCAGCAGCCGUUGCACACCGUUUGCUACCGAGAGACUUAGAACGCUGACCAGCCCAGCGGUGGCGCCACUGGACUGGCCACACUGGCAGCCGUGGUGGGCGCUGGCCAGCUCUGUUUCCUAGCAACAGGUAAGAUUUCAGAGAGUGGGCGGGGCUAUUAUCAUUGAAACUGGUUUUCUAAGCACCUCAUCUUGUGGCGUGAGGGAUCUUAACACUUUAAAAAUAAAAAUCUUUUUAACAAACAAAAAAGGAGGAGUCAUGAGCCCUUCCCCCCCCAAAUUUAAUUUUACCUACAAUUUUCUAAAUUAUGAUGAGUUGCUUUGUAUUCCAAUUGUAAAAUAUUUUCAGACAGAAUUCGAAGCCAUAUUACCCCCAGAUUUUAACUCUUAACUUGGAGAAGAGGGUACGCUGUUUGCUUUUCAGAAUGACCUUUAGAACUGCAGGCAAUCAGGGUGAAGCCAUAUCACAGAAAAGGCUUCCCCGACGGGCAACGCAUCUCCACACAUUAGACUCUCCUGAUCCAGACUUCUCCAAGCUGUGCAGAAUUCCAGCCAACACCCCUGGAGUGAUAUUCAACAUCACCUAAGAGAGACUUUUCCUACCAAGCUAAAGGGACUAAAUUGGUGCUGCAGGACAUUUAACGCUUAACCAAGCAGGUUUUUCAGACCCUUCAUGCUGAACUCCAAACAUUGGUUUGAUGGACUUAAUUUGAGAAUGCGGGUCAUUGGACCCACUGGUUGUUUAUUGAUUUUAAUGAUGCUUUCUAACUUACUCUUACCAAACUGUCUCACCCUGAGUUCAGAUACUAACCCUUGGUGCAUAUCUUUAAAAUAACUUUGUAAAGUCUGUGCUAAUUCUCCCCAAAAUUGAAAUGUAACCAGACCUGUUACUUUUGUCUUUCCCAUGCAUUUAUAUCAUAUUUCAACUGACUGAAUUUAGGAGUUUGAGUUAUGACAGCCCUUAGAUGCCUUGUUUGAAUUCUUAUUUGUGCUUUAUGAUGUAUCUGGAAGUUGAUUUCUUGUGAUUGCAUUCGGGAACAGCAAAUAGUAGGUUUCCCAGGCCUAACAAUUUCAAUUGAUUUAACAAACAGAAAAGGGGGAGAUGUUGUAGACCGCUCUGCCUGAUUUUAGGAAUUGUAUCUCUACCCCUUGUGGCUAAGGGCGAGGGACGACCUUUGGAAUGCCAGCCACAGGAGACAAAGCCUGUCUCUGGUAGCAAACGCUGCCUCAGUUCCUCUCCCUGCCCCCAGAGCUUGGUCAGAAGUCAAUGACGGGUAAGACUCCUCACAGCGGGGGGCAACCUAAGCCAGACUCGAUCACUUGGGAGGCCUUCAUGGAAGGACUGGGGUGGGGGGGCUGCAACAAAGAGCAAUGGACUCUCACCCCCCAGCUUUGACAAAGCCCGAGUCCUGAUGUUCUCUGGGAGAAGCGCUUCCUGGCUCUAAUCCCCUUAAGCCCGAAUACCUGUUGGGAAGAGGUGCAGCUCCUUGCCUUGCUAGAGCCUGUCCUGGGGAAAAAUCUGGCAUCACAAAAGACUUGCUGAUAAACCUGUGAAAUCUGCUCUGCUAAGAGUGCUCUCAUUCAUAUGAUAAGGGUCUGAGAGGAAAUGAGUAUGUCUCCCAAAGUUUCUGCAACUCUCUUCCUGACAGACACUGACUCAUAGUAAGUCCUCAGAUCUCUUUGAAAUGUUAUCUGCUGUUUGAUCGUUACCACCCUGUAUUCCUGUGUAUUACAACCCAAUAAAAGGCUAUGGAUGAGGGCGCUUGGGGCCUUUUUCUCCUCAGAGAAACUGGCCACUGCUGGCCUUUGUCUCCCCUGAGAAACUGGCCACAGCCCACUCCUCCUCCCCAGAUCUC